This 85-nucleotide transfer RNA is filed under the name Tindallia sp. MSAO_Bac2. Its description in RNAcentral is "tRNA-Leu". It matches the Rfam family "tRNA". Rfam says of the family: Transfer RNA (tRNA) molecules are approximately 80 nucleotides in length. Lineage: Bacteria; Bacillati; Bacillota; Clostridia; Peptostreptococcales; Tindalliaceae. The record is from RNAcentral.
GCGGUAGUGCUGGAAUUGGCAGACAGGCAGGUUUGAGGGAUCUGUGUCUUAGGGCGUGUGGGUUCAAGUCCCACCUACCGCACCA